RNAcentral lists this ribosomal RNA (518 nucleotides) under uncultured marine eukaryote. RNAcentral describes it as "partial 18S ribosomal RNA". It matches the Rfam family "Eukaryotic small subunit ribosomal RNA", at positions 613 to 1131 of the family's 1831-position model. The record is from RNAcentral.
UUGCGGUUAAAAAGCUCGUAGUUGGAUCUCGGCAGGUAGGGGGCGGUUCGUUUCUGACGGCACUGCCCCAUUUACCUGUGUUUUUGACGGAGGUCUCAAGGUGGCUUUAAACGGCUGUCUUGGUACGCCGUCAGGUUUACUUUGAAAAAAUUAGAGUGCUCAAUGCAGGCUACAAAGCUUGAAUAUUUGUGCAUGGAAUAAUGGAAUAGGAAGUCGUUUCUAUUUUUUUUGGUUUUCGGAAAUUGACUUAAUGAUUAAUAGGGACAGCCGGGGGCAUUAGUACUCAGACGACAGAGGUGAAAUUCUUGGACCGUUUGAGGACUAACUACUGCGAAAGCAUUUGCCAAGAGUGUUUUCAUUAAUCAAGAACGAAAGUUAGAGGUUCGAAGGCGAUCAGAUACCGCCCUAGUUCUAACCAUAAACGAUGCUGACUAGCGAUCCGUAGCUGUUUUCUAUGUAGGCUCUACGGGAAGCUUCCGGGAAACCAAAGUUUUUGAGUUCCGGGGGAAGUAUGGUUG